RNAcentral lists this ribosomal RNA (216 nucleotides) under Glomeromycotina sp. RNAcentral's name for it is "partial small subunit ribosomal RNA". The stretch from base 40 to 216 matches the Rfam family "Eukaryotic small subunit ribosomal RNA", at positions 686 to 864 of the family's 1831-position model. Lineage: Eukaryota; Fungi; Glomeromycota. The record is from RNAcentral.
GGGUCAGUAGGUUGGUCGUGCCACCGGUACGUACUGGUCUCACUGAUUCCUCCUUCCUGAAUAACCGUAAUGCCAUUAAUUUGGUGUUGCGGGGAAACAGGACUGUUACUUUGAAAAAAUUAGAGUGUUUAAAGCAAGCUAACGCUUGAAUACAUUAGCAUGGAAUAAUGAAAUAGGACGAUCGAUCCUAUUUUGUUGGUUUCUAGGAUUGACGCA